This 994-nucleotide long non-coding RNA is filed under the name Salmo salar (Atlantic salmon). RNAcentral's name for it is "lncRNA (ENSSSAG00000122287.1, ENSSSAG00075065354.1)". The record is from RNAcentral. Lineage: Eukaryota; Metazoa; Chordata; Actinopteri; Salmoniformes; Salmonidae.
CAAAGUUGACUGGAGAUAUAUUUUGAACAGUGCACACUCAUGGGAUGAGAAGUCUUACUGACGAAUUUGAGUGAGGAACGACGACGAACUGGGGCUGCGGAGCUGAGUGGUGAUCCGAGAGCAAAGGACCGAGAGGGGCAUUGGUACAAUGCACAUCUAGGAGCUUUAGCUCCGCCAAGUAAGGGACGUGAUUCUUCCUGUGUUCCCCUUACACUACUCUCUCUCUCGGCCAUUCUGCCAUGACACUGAAAGCCACUAAUGUUGGCAGGUUUCCCUGGCGUCUGUCUCCCGCUUGUUCAGCACCGGAGGCGGGGCCAUCGGUGACGUCGCCGAGCAGAGUCUCAGACAGGGCGCGUUCCAGGACAGGGAGCUGUGCGGAUCUGGAUAUCUCCAGACAAAGACAUGUAUUUUAUUUUUGUGGGGAUAUGGUUCUCGUUGGGCCCUAGAAAUCAAUAACCAGGGGCCUCCUCCUACUACCAAUUGGAUACCACGAAAUUGGGGAGAAAAAAGGGGUAAAAAGAAAUCAAUAACCUAUCCCCAGCCACUUUAUAUGUUGUCGGUCUUUUUCCCUGCCUGUUUUGUCACAUAGCAGUAGAGGGUCCUUUAGAGGGGUUGGCGGAGUAGAGCACGGCCAAGGGUUGGUCCCAUAUUGUGUGCAGCACUAGAGUGAAAUUGUAGUGCCUUUCACGUUAUUGUUUGCAAUGCCUUCCCUUCAAAUAACUAUUGUUGCUGUGCCAUAUCAGAAUAAUUCAGUGUGAGUGAGAUUUGUUGUGCUUUUUACCAUAUUGUUGCAGUGCUGUAUCAGAAUAAUUCUGUGUGUUGCAGGGUCACUUUCGCAUGGCUGAUACUUACCUGAGGGAUUAAGGGGGAGGGUAACCUACCUGAGGGGAAGCUCUGUCGACAAAGCCCGGGAAAUCGUACAGUCUGCUGUGGGGUAACGGGGUCUGAUCCAUGUUAUGUCCACAAAUUUAAAAUAAAACUUACCUUGAGCAUA